CACAAAGGUUUGGUCCCGGCCUUGACAUUAAUUGUUACUAAACUUACACAUGCAAGCCUCCACACCCCGGUGAGUACUAUUCCUACCUCCUCCUGGGGGUAGAAAACAGGCAUUAGGCUCAACCCCUUAGCCCAAGACACCUAGCCCAGCCACACCCACAAGGACUUCAGCAGUGAUUAACAUUGAACAUAAGCGACAGCUUGAUUCAAUUAUAGUAAAAUAGAGUUGGCAAAGUUAGUGCCAGCCGCCGCGGUCACACUACAUCAACUCAAAUUAAUUUCUAUCGGCGUAAAGCGUGAUUAAAGCACUUCCCACCACUAGAGUUAAACAUAAAUUUUUCUGUUCAAACCUCAUUUAUAAGAAACACCACAACGAAAGUCACUCUAAACUAAUCUACUUGAACUCACGACAGCAGGAAAACAAACUGGGAUUAGAUACCCCACUAUGCCUGCCACAAACUUUAACUUACACCUAAAUCGCCAGGGUACUACGAGCAAUGCUUAAAACCCAAAGGACUUGACGGUGACCCAUAUCCCCCUAGAGGAGCCUGUCCUAUAAUCGAUAAUCCACGUUUAACCUCACCACUUCUAGCUACUCAGUCUGUAUACUUCCGUCGCCAGCUUACCACGUGAGUGCCCCUCAGUACAGCAAAAUGGUAACACAUAUGCCUAAGCCGCAUACUAACGCCAACACGUCAGGUCAAAGUGCAACUCAUGAAGUGGAAAGAGAUGGGCUACACUUUUUAUUGUAAAAGAAACGAAAACCUUAAAUGAAACACGGUCAGAAGGCGGAUUUAGAAGUAAAAACAGAUCACAAUACUCUUUUUAACCCAACACCUGGGUCGCGUACACACCGCCCGUCACCCUCUUCAAUUAACAAAAACAAGUUACUAACAAGAAAAAACCCCGAAGAAGAGGCAAGUCGUAACAUGGUAAGUAUACCGGAAGGUGUGCUUGGAA
Molecule: non-coding RNA, 959 nt
Filed under: Phyzelaphryne miriamae (Miriam's frog)
Lineage: Eukaryota; Metazoa; Chordata; Amphibia; Anura; Eleutherodactylidae
Description: 12S ribosomal RNA
Rfam family: Bacterial small subunit ribosomal RNA
Source: RNAcentral